GGACGGGCUGCCUUGGUAUUAGACCCAAUAAUUGACGGAUACCACUUCACACGAGUCCUGAUGGACGGUGGAAGCAGUCUAAACCUGAUAUAUCAGGACACAAUCCGCAAAAUGGGGAUAAACCCAACAAAAAUUUGCCUCAGCAAUACUACCGUUAAAGGAGUAACACCAGGCCUAGGGGCUCAUUGCACGGGCUCCCUGCUACUAGAAGUUAUAUUCGACUUCCCCGAUAACUUCCGUAGCGAAAAUUUAACCUUCCACAUUGCUCCAUUCCAAAGUGGCUAUCAAGCACUACUUGGACGCGAAGCUUUCGCUUGCUUUAAUGCAAUACCGCAUUACACUUCCCUUAUGCUUAAG
This 357-nucleotide ribosomal RNA is filed under the name Triticum aestivum (bread wheat). Its description in RNAcentral is "partial small subunit ribosomal RNA". The record is from RNAcentral. Lineage: Eukaryota; Viridiplantae; Streptophyta; Magnoliopsida; Poales; Poaceae.